Unclassified non-coding RNA from Pongo abelii (Sumatran orangutan), 148 nucleotides. It matches the Rfam family "Metazoan signal recognition particle RNA". Rfam says of the family: The signal recognition particle (SRP) is a universally conserved ribonucleoprotein. It is involved in the co-translational targeting of proteins to membranes. The eukaryotic SRP consists of a 300-nucleotide 7S RNA and six proteins: SRPs 72, 68, 54, 19, 14, and 9. The record is from Ensembl. Lineage: Eukaryota; Metazoa; Chordata; Mammalia; Primates; Hominidae.
GCCGGGUGUGGUGGCAUGUGCCUGUAGUCCCAGCUACUUGGGAGGCUGAGGUGGGAGGAUCGCUUGAGUCCAGGAGGCUGAGGUUGCAGUGAGUCAAGAUCGUACCACUGCACUUCAGCCUGGGCGACAGAGCCAGAUCCUGUCUCAA